CGUAAAUAAAGGUAGUAGCUCAGUACUAGUCCCUUUAGUGUUUACUGUAACAGUAUUAUGUCCUAUGACUUCACUGAGUCAUAAAUAUAAAUAUAGGUAUGCAUACAUGCUUGUUCUAAUAAAUCAUUCAGAAAUAAUUCCAAGAAUAUGGAAUUUACAAAAAAAAACCAAACCAUCUAUAGAUCAAAAAUUAACCCUACUUACUUGUCUGAGACCACAUACUGGAGUUUUCCUUUUCAUGUGUUUUAAAGUGAUAUUUAUUAAGCAAGAAUGAUUCCUGGAACAUGUGACAGAGCAACUAUCUGAAAAAUUUCACUGACUGCCAAGAUGAGGGAAUUUACAGUAAGAAACUGCUCAUAAGAUUAAGUAUUUUGCAUAUUAAGAAUUGAGACCAAUUCUAAACUGUUUCAAAUGGAAGGAGCUUCAUUAAAUGCCUAAUAAAAGAAACGGCCAUUGAAAUGUAAGCUUGGAUGAAUCCAAGAUGGUUCCCACAGACUGUACCUUUUUUGCCCCCUGUUCCUCUUCAACACCAUCUCCUAUUACAAUGUACACGGCUUUCCUUCCAAACCUUUGCAUUAUUCUUUCAAAACAGCUCUCUUUUCCUGAGCAACAAAAGAGAAGACGUUUAUUUUUAUCUGGAUGCAUAAAGUAAUUGGGACUUAUAUUCACAUAUUGGAACUGAUGUUGUAAACUAACUAAACUUGCCACAUUCCCCACUUUUUUUUUAAUUAGAGCCCAACUGGAUCUUCAACUGAGAUGGAUUCUCUCAUGAGAGCUACGAGCCCUUUAUCAGUUGAAGAAUUCCAGGUGCUGCCAAUUUUCCAUAAGCUUAGUGACUUUGCACAGCUUAGACUGGCAGUUGGUAGAGUGAUGUAACACUCGUAUUGAGUUGCCCUAUUCUAUUCAUUCUGGUUGCAGUAGUGAACGUAAAAAUACAAACCUCAAAGAUUCAAACAAAAUCCUACCAGAAGGGACAGAAAACAAAAGCCCCAAGCCAACUCUGUCAAUAUUUAUUCCUCUCACAGCUCUUCUAGAACUCACUCAGCACACUUGACUCUGCAAGUAACAGGAUCCAAACCACAUUUCUGUAAGAGGUCCAACCAGACUGUCCCCCUCCUAGCUGGACGCACCUGAACACCCAAACUGCUGCUCCAUAAGGAACCUAAACACCAUGUAGGCAAUGUCCAUGCUUUGACUUGAGUGAAUGUCUUCAGGGGUUGAAGGGCCCUUUCCUACUCUCUCGCAAAUCUCUGCAUAUGAAAAGUGUACUGCAGGUGAGGUAGGAAAGGAAAGGUAAGAAAAAAGUGUGGUUGCUUUUUUUUGUCUCAGUUCAUCAUCUCAAGUGACCUUGAUAAUACAAGUAUGACAAGCAUAUGCAGACAGGCCUCCCACAGGUUUGGCCAGCAAAGUCCUACAAAUGUGUCUCGAUUUGUUUAGAGGAAGGGGAAAAUGGAAAGCAAAGGAGAUCCUGGAUCAAGCCUGGAGGCAGGUCUGUAAGCUGUUCUUACCGGGAAUGUAUCAAAUUCAGUGCCUUCAGAGCAUGUGUGAGCCAGAGAUCAGUCAGCGCUUCGAGUUCUGCUCUUAACUGCAGCCAGGUUUCCCUCUUAGGAGCUCCUAUUAAACCUGUAAGCAGGGAAAGCAUCUUUGCAGAAGCACAGAAAGGGAGCUGCAUGCUUGUGUAUGUAAGUAUGCCAAAGGGCCCCUUAUUGUAUUCUGAAUCCUGCCCCUUCCAGUGCCCUUCUCUUGUCACUGGUGCAGGUUACUUUCCUUUGCCUCAAGGUAUAUCAGCCCUGACUGCAACACACUCCUAUGCAACUAGAGCUCAGCUUCCUUCCUCUCCAAAGGAAUGGUAUCAGUCACCUGCAGUCUGCAGGCCCGUGUUAAAACAUCCUUCUUGAAGUUAGCACAAAGAUCAUAUGAGAAAUGAGCAAGAGGACAAAAGAGUUCUGUGCAGGGGUUGGUGGCCUGAGCUAAGAGAAGCCUGGAGCCAAUAAGGUCUUUUUUUCUUCCUGAAAAGCUGUGCACCAUUUCCAGUACAUGUGGGUAGGGCAUUUCUCUAACAAUGAAACAAGUCUGUGGUGAUAUUCUUAGCUUUACAUCUUUCUCUUUCUAGGCAGAGACCUGUCACUGUUCUAAAAUAGAAGCAAAGCAAUCUCUUGGAAGAAUUGCCUGCAAUGAGCUGAGAUGAAAAACCUCAGGGCAUCCUGAUAUCUUUUGAUAUUGUUUUAGGGGAGAUAAUAGUAGGCAUUCAAGAAUGCUUUCAGAUAGAACUCAGCCAUAUGUUCUUCUGUGGGAGAAAACAGUCUACUGAGUUUUGAACUGUUUGCUUGCUUACUAAGCAUUUUGGAAAAUUUGAGGUUUUUUCUCUGGCCAAAGAAAUAACGAAAUAAAGCCCCGUGUUCAAAUUUGAGUCCUCCAUCCACUAAACCAAGUAUUUUAGCAUAACUCUUGCAAAUCCCAUACAAAAUCCUUAUUUCAGAAUGACCGCUGAAACACUUGUUCAGCUCAGUGUUUAAGUACUGUUAUCAUUAUGCUCUCUGCACCUCCUCUGCAGCAUAUUCCUAGCAGGGUCAGAAGUGUUUGCGAGGAUGAAAGGCACACUUACUGCCUGGCAGCAGAUACUUACCCCCAACAUUGUUUUUGUAGGUGUUGUACAUCUCUUUCACCCGACGGUAGCGGAAUGCUAAUUUCCUCAUCCAGUCAACUCCCCCAUGAACGCCUGAGCCCAGACAUAGAUUUGCACUGGCAGCUGAACUGUGAAAGCCAUCUGCAGAGAAGUUAUACGUGCUAGAAGAAGGAAGAAGGGAAGGGGAGAGGCCAUUAGAAUUACAGUCUAUGCAGCACCAGCAAAGAAUGGGCAUUUGUGGCCUGUUAUUUUUCUUUUACUUGAAUGAUUUAUUUCCAGGCUAAGAAAUCAAGCAGACUGCCAGACCCACGAUCCCAUUCAGACAUUAGCAUCAUGUCUGAAAUCAGGACUACUUGUACAGAUUUAAAAAAAAAAAAAUUCUUACUGUGAACACAGUGUAGGUUUAGUGCUUCCUGCCAGUCCUGAGGUUCCCUGCACUACAAAACAUCUGAUUGUCCUCAGGUCACUGAAAACCCUCAACUGCCUCUUAUCCAGGCUGCUAAGAUUAGCAUUUUAACCAAUGCCUCAGCAGGUAUCCUGACUCAUCUGCUUACAGUCCACGGGAGCCACAGGAACUAAACAUCUGAGGACUACCUGACCUACAGCUUCCAGCAUGGAGAUUCCAUACCUUAGAUCUUGACCAUUGUCAUCUGAUGAUACAUCAUCUAUGUGGAUCUGGUCACAGUCCUGAGGAGCACAUGAAAAGAAAAUACAUCAUGUUAGCAUCAUCAUUAGAGAGAAAUCAGUAAGCUCCUCCCUGCCACCUUAAUCUACUUUCUCUGUGAUCCUUGUUGGUAAGGACAAAACAGAAAACCUUCAAGUUGACAAACACUAUGCUUUGUUCUGGUUCACCCAACAAAAGCAAAAGCACAGUUGAUAAAAGGAAUCUUCAUUGGAGUCAGAAUUGCAGAAUUUCCUUGAAAUCUUAGUGAGUGGGGAACCAAGGCAGGAUAUCUGUGCUGCUGAAAAGAAGGUCCAGAUUGUCUGAAUGAAGUCUGCAAUGGAAACUGGAAAUUUCAAUUUCCACAUCUGCUGGCUUUUAAAAAUAAUAUUCUAGGAUCUCAGAGGAACGUGAUCUGUGGCAUGUGCAGCCUGUAACUAAGGCAAAUGUGUGAGACCUCAGCCAAUCCUCCUAGCUUAUGGAAUUGAACUGUUUUUACUGCUGUGACAUCUCUAGGCCAGCUUGUGAUACAUGACCUGUCUCCAGGUGGGAUGAAAACCUCGAACGUGGGCUAACGCAGCUCUGAAAUUGUACCACAGGCUUGGAGAAAGCCUCUGCUGCCUCCUUGUGAAAUACAAGCUGUUCCUGAGGAUGCAUGGAGAAACUUAGUUACCACUUAUGAAUGUUCUCAAGGCUGCUGCCCACAAGUGCCCUGCCUUUGCCUAAUGUGUUCUCAUGGCCACUGGGAACAUCUCACAUGCUGAGAGAAGCAGGGUUAUUUUCCAGUCUUCUGAUGAAGUUGAGUGUUCAAAGCCAUGUGUGGAAACAGCUGCCAACUAGGUCAUCCACCUUUAAUUAGAAAUGCUUGCACAUGAGAUUGUCCUACUGCCUCUGCAAGAACUACAUGCCAGAAUGAUCUUCCAUGUCUGUAGAAAACUGUACUGAAAAUACAAGGUGCAAGUGAACUUGGAAAGCUGGGGUAUCAUGAUACUCUUUCUCUUGGUACUAAGAGUCCCAAAUUCGUAACGCUCUGCCCAUCUGUUCUUCUUUGUGGGAAGCAAGACAUGGAAAUAGAUUAGAAAACUUAUAUCUGAAUAACUGACACAUGUUUCUUCUGUUCAUCAUCGCAACUCCUGCUCUCGUUCACUUAUUUGCUUUUUCAGGCAUAGAACUGUAUUCGUGCUCUGGGGAUUGUCCUUCAACAAAAGGUUUUUGUUUCCCCAGAAAUGGUAAUUAGUAUCUGGUCUUAAAUAAAAUUAAAUAAUAAAUAGUAUUUAGAAAGACUAAAAGCCCUUUCCUUCUUAACUGCUUAUAUCUUUGUCUGUGACACAGCUAUUUCAUUAGCUCUCAGUCACCAGGGAGCUCUCAAGAAUAGAGAUGACUCAAGUUGUUAAAAUAAAUAUUAAGCUGAAAAAGAACUGAGAAAUUCCAUUGUUUUCUCUUUAAAAAUAUCACGAAAUGAUGAAAACAACCCACCUAUUUCUCCUUCUUGCAGGUAAGCUCUAUACUUCAAUCAAGUGUGUUUAUUUCAGCGUUUAUUGACAAUGUUUUUA
This is a long non-coding RNA of Gallus gallus (chicken), 4840 nucleotides long. RefSeq lists it as uncharacterized. The record is from RefSeq and is a predicted model, not a curated record. The transcript is spliced from 9 exons. NCBI's taxonomy places the organism in Eukaryota, Metazoa, Chordata, Aves, Galliformes, Phasianidae.